GUUAUAUGGUCAAGCGAAUAAGCGCACACGGUGGAUGCCUAGGCGGUCAGAGGCGAUGAAGGACGUGGUAGCCUGCGAAAAGUGUCGGGGAGCUGGCAACAAGCUUUGAUCCGGCAAUAUCCGAAUGGGGAAACCCACUGCUUCGGCAGUAUCCUGCAGUGAAUUCAUAGCUGCUGGAAGCGAACCCGGUGAACUGAAAUAUCUAAGUAACCGGAGGAAAAGAAAUCAACCGAGAUUCCCUAAGUAGUGACGAGCGAACGGGGAACAGCCCUUAAGCUGGAAUGGCUUUAGAAAAACAAUCUGGAAAGAUUGGCCAUAGAAGGUGAUAGCCCUGUAUUUAAAAGGGCCACUCCAGUGAAGACGAGUAGGGCGGGGCACGUGAAACCCUGUCUGAAUAUGGGGGGACCAUCCUCCAAGGCUAAAUACUCCUGACCGACCGAUAGUGAACCAGUACCGUGAGGGAAAGGCGAAAAGAACCCCGGAGAGGGGAGUGAAAUAGAUCCUGAAACCGUGUGCGUACAAGCAGUAGGAGCUCGCAAGAGUGACUGCGUACCUUUUGUAUAAUGGGUCAGCGACUUACUGUUCGUGGCAAGCUUAACCGUAUAGGGGAGGCGAAGGGAAACCGAGUCUGAUAAGGGCGCAUAGUCGCGGGCAGUAGACCCGAAACCGGGUGAUCUAGUCAUGGCCAGGGUGAAGGUGCCGUAACAGGUACUGGAGGCCCGAACCCACGUCUGUUGCAAAAGACGGGGAUGAGCUGUGAUUAGGAGUGAAAAGCUAAUCGAACCCGGAGAUAGCUGGUUCUCCUCGAAAGCUAUUUAGGUAGCGCCUCGGACGAAUACUACUGGGGGUAGAGCACUGUUAUGGCUAGGGGGUCAUCGCGACUUACCAAACCAUUGCAAACUCCGAAUACCAGUACGUACUAUCCGGGAGACACACGGCGGGUGCUAACGUCCGUCGUGAAAAGGGAAACAACCCAGACCCACAGCUAAGGUCCCAAAUUCACUGCUAAGUGGAAAACGAUGUGGAAAGGCAUAGACAGCCAGGAGGUUGGCUUAGAAGCAGCCACCCUUUAAAGAAAGCGUAAUAGCUCACUGGUCGAGUCGGUCUGCGCGGAAGAUUUAACGGGGCUAAGCAGUGAACCGAAGCUUGGGGUGCAUAAAACUUGUUUUAUGCGCGGUAGAGGAGCGUUCCGUAAGCCUGCGAAGGUGGAUUGAGAAGUCUGCUGGAGGUAUCGGAAGUGCGAAUGCUGACAUGAGUAACGAUAAUGCGGGUGAAAAGCCCGCACGCCGAAAGCCCAAGGUUUCCUUGCGCAACGUUAAUCGACGCAGGGUUAGUCGGUCCCUAAGGCGAGGGCGAAAGCCGUAGUCGAUGGGAAGCAGGUUAAUAUUCCUGCACCUCGCGUGAGUGCGAUGGAGGGACGGAGAAGGUUAGGUGUACCGGGCGUUGGUUGUCCCGGGGAAAGGCGGUAGGUUUGGAUCUUUGGCAAAUCCGGGAUCCUUUAAGACCGAGCACCGAGACGAGCCUUUAUGGCGAAGUCACUGAUACCACGCUUCCAGGAAAAGCUCCUAAGCUUCAGCUCACGAAGACCGUACCGUAAACCGACACAGGUGGGUAGGAUGAGAAUUCUCAGGCGCUUGAGAGAACUCGGGUGAAGGAACUAGGCAACAUGGCACCGUAACUUCGGGAGAAGGUGCACCCUUUUUGGUGGCUCAUGCGAGCUAUAGCUGAAGAGGGUCGCAGAAACCAGGCCGCUGCGACUGUUUAUCAAAAACACAGCACUCUGCAAACACGAAAGUGGACGUAUAGGGUGUGACGCCUGCCCGGUGCUGGAAGGUUAAUUGAUGGGGUCAGCCGCAAGGCGAAGCUCUUGAUCGAAGCCCCAGUAAACGGCGGCCGUAACUAUAACGGUCCUAAGGUAGCGAAAUUCCUUGUCGGGUAAGUUCCGACCUGCACGAAUGGCGUAACGACAGCGGCGCUGUCUCCACCCGAGACUCAGUGAAAUUGAAAUCGCUGUGAAGAUGCAGCGUUCCCGUGGCAAGACGGAAAGACCCCGUGAACCUUUACUAUAGCUUUACACUGAACGUUGAGUUCGUCUGUGUAG
RNAcentral lists this ribosomal RNA (2101 nucleotides) under Xanthomonas prunicola. Its description in RNAcentral is "partial 23S ribosomal RNA". It matches the Rfam family "Bacterial large subunit ribosomal RNA", at positions 1 to 2141 of the family's 2925-position model. The record is from RNAcentral. Lineage: Bacteria; Pseudomonadati; Pseudomonadota; Gammaproteobacteria; Lysobacterales; Lysobacteraceae.